RNAcentral lists this ribosomal RNA (383 nucleotides) under uncultured eukaryote. RNAcentral's name for it is "partial 18S ribosomal RNA". It matches the Rfam family "Eukaryotic small subunit ribosomal RNA", at positions 592 to 976 of the family's 1831-position model. The record is from RNAcentral.
CAAUAGCGUAUAUUAAAGUUGUUGCGGUUAAAAAGCUCGUAGUUGGAUCUCGGCAGGCAGGGGGUGGUUCGCUCUUAGCGCUACUGCCCCAUUUGCCUGUGUGAUUGGCGGAGGUUUCGGGGUGCUCUUCGUUGAGUGACCCGGGGCGCCGUCAGGUUUACUUUGAAAAAAUUAGAGUGCUCAAAGCAGGCUUUUCACGCUUGAAUAUUCGUGCAUGGAAUAAUGGAAUAGGAACUCGUUUCUAUUUUGUUGGUUUUCGGAAAUCGAGUUAAUGAUUAAUAGGGGCAAUUGGGGGCAUUAGUAUUCAGACGACAGAGGUGAAAUUCUUGGACCGUCUGAAGACUAACUACUGCGAAAGCAUUUGCCAAGAGUGUUUUCAUUAA